UACGAAGGGGGCUAGCGUUGUUCGGAAUUACUGGGCGUAAAGCGCACGUAGGCGGAUUUGUUAGUCACGGGUGAAAUCCCGGGGCUCAACCUCGGAAUUGCCUUUGAUACUGCAAGUCUCGAGUCCGGAAGAGGUGAGUGGAAUUCCUAGUGUAGAGGUGAAAUUCGUAGAUAUUAGGAAGAACACCAGUGGCGAAGGCGGCUCACUGGUCCGGUACUGACGCUGAGGUGCGAAAGCGUGGGGAGCAAACAGG
This 253-nucleotide ribosomal RNA is filed under the name uncultured bacterium. RNAcentral's name for it is "partial 16S ribosomal RNA". It matches the Rfam family "Bacterial small subunit ribosomal RNA", at positions 524 to 776 of the family's 1533-position model. The record is from RNAcentral.